Molecule: long non-coding RNA, 308 nt
Filed under: Neogobius melanostomus (round goby)
Lineage: Eukaryota; Metazoa; Chordata; Actinopteri; Gobiiformes; Gobiidae
Description: lncRNA (ENSNMLG00000001308.1)
Source: RNAcentral
CCCUAGCUUUUAACCAUGUGCAUAUUUGGUUGCAUGUUAUUUCUGCUGCACUUUUAUUUUGUAAUUACAUAUCUUUAAAUACAAAAUAAAAAAGAAUGCACUUCCGGGUAGGAGCGGAAGUACGCUUCUUCAUUCAGAGCUCUGGCGUUUGUGCGCUUUUUUUUGAGGCGCUACAGCCGCUUUUCUCCCCUUCAUCGCCAUUAGUUUUAAAAAAUGUCCCGAAGGCGACACAGCGACGAGAAUGAGGGUGAGUAGUAAAGCGGUGCAUGUGUGGAGAGCUAACGGCUGUGUGCGCUGCUCCGACUGGC